This 406-nucleotide ribosomal RNA is filed under the name uncultured bacterium. RNAcentral describes it as "partial 16S ribosomal RNA". It matches the Rfam family "Bacterial small subunit ribosomal RNA", at positions 30 to 526 of the family's 1533-position model. The record is from RNAcentral.
AUUGAACGCUGGCGGCAGGCCUAACACAUGCAAGUCGAACGAGUGGCGGACGGGUGAGUAAUGUCUGGGAAACUGCCUGAUGGAGGGGGAUAACUACUGGAAACGGUAGCUAAUACCGCAUACCAUCGGAUGUGCCCAGAUGGGAUUAGCUAGUAGGUGGGGUAAAGGCUCACCUAGGCGACGAUCCCUAGCUGGUCUGAGAGGAUGACCAGUGACACUGGAACUGAGGCGCGGUCCAUAUACAUACGGGAGGCAGCAGUGGGGAAUAUGGCACAAAGGGCGCAAGCCUGAUGCAGCCCUGCCGCCUAUCUGAAGAAGGCCUUCGGGUUGUAAAGUACUUUCAGCGGGGAGGCGUUAGCCGCAGAAGAAGCACCGGCUAACUCCGUGGCAGCAGCCGCGGUAAUAC